Molecule: unclassified non-coding RNA, 6965 nt
Filed under: Leishmania donovani
Lineage: Eukaryota; Euglenozoa; Kinetoplastea; Trypanosomatida; Trypanosomatidae
Description: gene:LdHU3.06.0640(CDS-product:hypothetical_prote in_conserved)
Source: RNAcentral
UGACCUCGCUCUGUGCAUACACCUCGACGCAGUCUCACCGCUGCCGCUACGUCACCACUGCCACGACCACCGCCACCACCAACCAGCCCUUACACAGCACUGCCACACCGUGUUUCAGUUGAGGAGCGUCGCCACACACUCACACGCCCACGCAUAUUCCCCAUCCACGAACGCGUGCGUGCCUUUCUGCGUUGCUGCGUGUGUGUUUAUGCAUAAGCCUGCUUUCGAGCUGAGCCGUCACGGCGAGUGCGGUGCGUUCCGCUUUCUCUGCUCCUUCCCCCCCUUCGCCUUCCUUCCCUCCUUCCGUUGGCCUGCUGUCGACUUCAUCGUCUCCGUGACUCGCUCGCUCGCGCCUUUUUUUCCUUUUUUUCGUUCAAACCUGUAUGUAUAUAUCCACACUGCGUGCACGUCUUGUUCGUGCGCGUGUGCUUCGUCUCUUCAUGGUUUGAGAGUGCUUAGGCGGUGGCGACUUCGUUGAGCGCCCCGCCCUGCGCCUCUCCCCUCCUCUGUUUUCUCUUCCCGGGCGGCGUAGCGGAAACACAUACACAUUCCUUCUUUCUCUUCGUCUCCCGUUUUGUGUCUUGUAGACUCUCUUCCUUUAUACUUCAUCUUUCUCUGCGUGUGUGGCUUGUGCGUGGCGAUCGGCGUCGCUGUCUUUUGCACCUUUGGUCAUCUCCUUGUGCUGCCGUCCAGCACGCACAAGACGUGCAUCGGCGCGCUCGAAGAAGACCCGAGACAAAAGCUGAGCGGGGAACCUCGACGCGCCGUUGUGCACACACAUAUAUAAAUAUAUAUAUAUAUAUAUAUUGGCUCAUUCAUGAUUUUGCCUAUGGUGCUCUCCUCCGUCUCUGCCGGUGCACCUGUUUCUCCCUCCAAGCAUCCCCGCUGCAGGCACCCAACAGACACCAAACACGUACACACACACACACACACACACACGACACGCGUGCAGCUCAAGCUGUGAAGGAGGGAUGUCGUCAUUGCCGCCGUCGCAGCCGCGGUGCGAAGCGCCCACUGUCGGAGCAACACAUGCACUGCGGCCGCUUCAUUCUCUUCCUCCGCCGCUCACUUCAGCGCCUGCUGGCUCGACUGCUGCGUUGUAUGAAGGUGUGCGCCUUACCCCCAGUGCUCUGAAGUCCAUCAUCGGGUACUUGCCAUGCAACGCCACCGCUACUAUCGGCAACACAGCCAACAUCCACAGAAAUGGCGGUGCUGUAAUCAGUGCCAGUCGUGCUGCAGACGGCCGACCAGCAUGCUCGCCGCUCAUCAUGGCCGACGCGCUCUUUGCAGCGGCGGCGCAGGCGCCGUCUACAUCCGCAGCGACCGCUGCCUCCGCUGGCGCACCGUUGACGCCGCCGGUGCCGGUGACUGUGACGCGACCGCUGGCAUUCGUGGCGGCGUCUCCGCAGUCGCGGCGCGGGCUGGAGAUGCACCUCACCGGUGGCUGCGCGCUGCCGCCACUUGGCUCGCUGGUUCUGCAGGUUCAGCCACAUAGACCGUCGCCGGUCGCCGCGAUGCGUCCGUUGCGAGUGGGUGCGCGGCACGCGUCUCGACGCCGCGUGGCCUCCCCGGCGCAAGUCGGGGCUGCCCAUCACCAUGAUGAGAGGGCGUCAGCCGCGUCACUCCCGGCACUUAUUGUAUCGUCUACGAACGUGGCCAUCCCGGCGCUGCCGUUCCAGCCAGUGCGCUCGCUCUCGAGCUCGCCAGUCACGCGGCCGCAGACGGCAGCGAUGCCGUCGACGUUAUCAACUCCGUUACCACCAGCGAUGGCAGCGGCCCUCGGCGACGAUGAUGUCCGCACAUCGGGUAGCUUUUCGCCAGCACCCCAACCGCCGCCGCCGCUACCCUCGCAGUCCGCUGUUCGUCAGAGUCGCCGACUUCCAGUGGUUGCCGCAACGCCGCCCGCUGACUGGUCUCCAUUUUCCUCGGCACUGGUGGCGCGGACACGCACCAGCCCUGUUUCGGCUUCGCGCCGCUCGCUGAAAACUGCGUCACCGACCUCGACAGCGCAGGAGGCCUUCGGUGCGGUGGCGGCGGGGGCCGAUAGCAAAGCCGCCUUCGCGUUAGGUGCCAGCGAAGCCCCCACAACGCGCGCCUGUGUUUCCACCGGCGCGUCGCCGUCGCUGCGGCCUGCGCGUGCAACACCGCCUGCCACUUCUCCUCCGCCGGCGCCGCCUCCGUCGUCUACGUCCGCCGCUCUGCAGACGCUCUGCCACGCGCUGUGGUGGGUGCGCCGUGGUCCGUUGCCAGUGUCGCUGAGUCUCUGGCGGUACAGGCAAGCGGACAUAUCGGUUGUGUGGGCGAUGCUGUCGGAGUCACCUCCGCCACACCCGCAGGAGGCGGCGGGGCUGGUGAUGAGGGGGGAGGGCACGGAGAAACCACGACCUCUUCCUUCAUCACCAAUGCACGAGCACCGCGGUCAGGCGGCACACACGCUUGAUAAGCCUCGGGAGAACUGUCAUCCUACUCCAGCGAGAGAGGGCGAUGACGUGCGUGGCUUUAGGGCCCCUGCCAAUGACCCGGCCCAUGGUCUCGUGGCUGAUGUGAGUGGCGGGGCAGUGGUGGUUGCCAGCGCCGAAGGGGUGACCGACACAACACAGUCGUCUGGCAUCACGGAAGUCAUUACGACCACCGCCGCCUGCAGUGGGCACUUGUGCCCCGCGUGCCAUUCUCUGAACUUCGAUCCUGCAUCGACACAGCCGAUAUGGCCACCAAGGGCACCAGAAGGAGAGGGAGCAGCUGCCAACGCCGACAAAAACAACGGCACACUUGAGCAUCGACUGGGCAGCCCUGCCGACACCGUGCCAACGUCGUCUUUUGCACCGGCGGCACCAGCGAAUCCCAUGCUCCGCUCCCCUGUGAUGCAGCUGCAUGUCCACGGCAAAGCGGCCGAUGCCGCGCUGACGGAGCUGCUGCCGGCCCAUCCGGAGGUGCGUUCGCUGCGUCUCACGCAUGGCACCCUGUCUGACGCGCAGCUGCGGCACCUCGCCCGCGUCUGCCCCGACGUGACGCAUCUUUCGCUGGCCAUGAACAGUCGAAUCCAGACAACCGCCUUUCUUUGCCCGCCACUGUCGGAUACUUCAUCCGUAUCGCCCUCGGCCACCACGGUCACCACGACGGCGACCUCGCGGACGGAGGCCGUCGGCUCGCCCAAGCAGGACUUUCCGCACCAACUCACUCGCCUGCAUCCGGGAGGGGUAUACCACACUGCCGCCACCACCUCCCAGACGGCACCGCCGGUCUUGUCACCACUCUCCUCUCGGCCUCCCUUUGCGACGCGUGGCGCGAGCGACACGGCGGACGCGCUUGGCACUCGCAGCGAGGGCAGCCGUGGUACAGACGCCUCCCCGCCGCAGUCACCGUCGUAUUUGCCACACAGCCUGUGCUCGCCGUACCAGAACAGCCAGCUCGAUCUCUUCGCCCCGGACGAGGAAGGGGAGCUGGAGAUGCGGAUAUCGCUUUGGCAGGCGGCGCAGACAGAUGCGGAGGAACGGCGCCAGCCCGUCUUCAUUCUACGCCCGCAGGACGUCGUACUGGGCAGAUAUGGCGGAGCAGCAGGCAAGGAUGGCAGCCGUACUGGUGCCUCGACGACUGGUGGUAGCAGGGACGCUGCUGCUGGCACUACCGCUGCGGCAUUCUCGCGCACGCUGCAGGACAGCGCCAUCGAGCAGUGGACGGCGUCGCACCGGCGGCCCUCACCCCACACUAAGACCGCUGCCAUCGGAGGCACGCCGACAAACGCAGAAUCAGCUCACGAUUCUCGGAGGGUUGCACCAGGAGCGCCACUCCUGAUGGCCAGCACUGCGGCCUCCCUCGCGGAUUUGUCUGGCACGAUACUCAGCCCGCUUCACCUGUCUUCGGCUGCACAUACACCGACGUUAGCUUCAGCUGCAGUUUGGGCUCACACAGACCCUCGACACGGCCUGCGGCUGCGGUCGAGCAACGCGUCGUAUCCGGAGCUGGUGGUGUCGCUGCGGCAGCCCUCCGCGCCGACGUCGACCUCCGUCACUGCGGCAGCCUCGCCGUUAGCCCUGUCUCUGCCCACGCCCCCCACUGCUACGGAUGCGGCUGCUGCGGCUGCUGGCGAGGCAGGGCGCAGUGCAACUUCAGACGCAAAGCGAGCCGACGGGCGUGCGUUUGCCGUGCCAGGCCCGCCCGCACCUGCAGCGCCUGUGCAUCCCAGCUCACCAUCCAGUGGCAGCGCCAUGGAACCCGCUGCGCCGUCUGCUUCCCCACGCCAUCGCUCUCGCGAGCGCCGCCAUCAUUGUGAGGGCUACGGCGGCCCUUUGUUGCGGCCGCGCCCCACAUACUGGGCCGACACCUUGGUUGACCUCGACCUCUCCUACACGCAGGUGUCUGACGAGGACGCCACCCGUGAUCUGCCACAGCUGCGCUGCUUGCAUCGCCUCUCUCUGGAGGGAUGUAUGCGCCUUUCGCAGGUCACAUGGGCGCCGCUGCUGCUCCAUCUGCGCGAGCUGAACUUGUCGCUGUCCUCCCUGCAAGGGCACGCGCUGCACCCGCUGGGGCGCUGCCCACGGCUGGUGUGGCUGAAGCUAGAGGGGUGCUCGUCAUUCACCGCCGUUCACCAGCUGUGGAACAGGGAGGCAGACACGGUCGAUGCGGGAGCGGGGGGCGAUGGCAGCGGCUCGACAGUCGCAGUCGCACGCAUUGUCGCUCCCGCCACGCCUGUGGUUCGUCACACCACCAUCGGCGGUAUCCCAGCCAUCACGGUGCUGCCCCCGCCUGCAGGGCUGAUUACGACUUCCACAGCAACAGCCACACCAACGGCGGCACCAGCUCUGGCAACCUCUCCCUCUACCGGUGCACGUGCGGCGACAGCAGCCAGGGGUGUGGCGGCGGCGGAUGCUCAUGGCGAGGGCAGCGCUGCCGCCACUGUCGACGAAGCGGUGGCAGCAGGAAGUGCCGAGCCCGUUCCUCUGCUGAGUACGCUCUGCGUCCUCAUCGCCGCCAGCACAGGUCUGACCGAUGCCGGGCUUCGCUCCCUCAACAAGUUCGUCGGGCUCGACUGCUUGGUGCUGGACCGGUGCCCUGGGGUAACAGACGUUAGCGUCGCUGCAACGCUGCCGUCUCUGCACACCCUGGACGCCAGUCGCACCCGCGUGACGUCGGAGGGGGUAGCGGGCUUGCGCCUCUCUCGCACACUGAAGCAGCUGCGGCUGCAGGAGUGCCCGGCGUUGUCUCGCCUACCGGUACUCUUGGUCGAGCCUGGCAACCGUGAGGCUACCACGGCUGGUGGUGCUGGAGACGAGGCAUCGGGGCUACGUCGACCGGCGGCGAAAACGGCCGGCAUCUCGCGUCGUCCGUUCCACAAGUACCCGCCCUUGACGGUGCUGGACCUUUCCUACACAAGGCAGCUCACCGCCGACGGGUUGGCAGGGCUUGUGGGCGACGAGGCAACCGUGACAGCGCAGGCUGCUGCUGCCGUGGUAGAGCACCUUGGAGGGCGAGAGGUGGACGGCGACGACAUGGGCCUCGCCCUGGCUGUAGACGAGUCGCUGUCGCCGGCAUCGGUCUUUCCGCACGUACGCCACGUGCUGCUGCGUUCGUGCGACGCCGUGACGCAGCUUCGUCCACUGCGCGGCUUCACGAACGUCGUAGAGCUUGAUCUCUACCACACCAGCGUCACGGAAGCCGCUCUGACGGCUGCGCUGGCGUCUUGGACGUGUCUGGAGGUGCUCAACAUUGCAAGUACGCGAGUGCGUUCGUUGGCGGCGUGGUGUCCGUACGAGCCAAGCGAGACGGUGGCGACUGUUGCAGCGACUACCGGACGGAGUGGGGAUGGGGAUGCAGCGGAAGGCGACGGCGACCUGCAUGCGCAGUUGCCACCGCUGCCGUGGCACGGUCGACUUCCCGCCUUCGCAGCCACCCUGCGCGUACUCGUUCUUUCGAAUACCGACGUCACGGCCUCCGGGCUUGCGGCGUUGACGUUCUUCCCUCAGCUGGAGGUUCUGCAGCUAUCGAGCUGUCCGCGACUCUUGUCCUUGCGGUUCCUGGCGCUGGCUGCUGGCGGUGCAGCGCGGCGCCCAGCCCUAGGUGAGCUUACCGUCACUGAAGCAGCGUACCUCACGAACGCCGAAGCUUUCCCGUACAUCGCGCGCUGCCCUGGUCUCCGCCUUCUCUCGCUAGUGGGGUGCGUGCAGUUGGGCAGUGGUGGUAAUGCACUGCCGGCGCGAGGGACGCAGCAUGAGCAUCUGUCGUCCUCAACUGACGACGACGUCGGCGUGCUUGGCCGUCUGCGGGGGCUGGCAGAGCUGAACCUGUCCAAUACUGGCGUCGACCUUCUCGACCUGAAGAAGAUGCUGUGUGCGCCGACGUCUCUGGGUUUGCUGACAGCGACCGCAGCGCAGCACGAGCAUCUCUAUCAGCGCGUGCCCUUGUCGCUGCAGCGCCUAUGGCUGCGCGGGUGCCGCCACCUGGACGAGGGCGCGCUCAUGUCCACGGCGGCCGCAGCCCUUGAGCACAGCGAACUCCCAUGCGACGGAUCCGGCAGCGGCGGCGGGCGUCCCAUGACGUGUCGGCUGCUGCCCCUGCUACGAGAGGUGUACCUCAGCCAUGGCAAAUACGGCGCUGCAGUGCUUUCUGGUCUGUUCAGCUGAUCGACUUGCGUGCCGCCGUCCGUGCCGCUCCUCCCCCCCACACCACACACAUGUGCGUAGCUCUUCUCCCUUGAAAGGUACAGGCCUGCAAAACGUCGGAAAGAAGACAGAGCGGGGUGUAUGCCCCCCCCCCCCCUUCUCACCAUGACCUCUUCCCCUCAACGCGCGCGCAGGCGUCGACCGCGCGGUGUCGGACAUGUUUCCAUGUAUUUGCCUUUGCAUUAUGAGUACGGAAGCGUACGUGAUCACGUGCACGCAUAUGCAUGCCCGCCCCCUUCUUCGGAGGCACUGACACCACUUCUCCGUCGCCCUUUUCCAUCUCCCCCUUCUCACGCUGGCAUGGGGAAG